CAAACCAAUAAAGUUUUCUUUAUUGGGGUUGCGGACAUAUCAUAACGAAGAGGUAUCGUAAUUGAAGAGGUUUGGAAAGACCCACCACAGAAGGUAAUAGUCCUGUAUGUUAAACGAAAAGACUUUAGAUAUGAUCCAGAGUACCACGGGACACGUGAAACCCGGUGGGAAGCAGGAGGGACCACCCUCCAAGGCUAAAUACUACCUAGUGACCGAUAGCGUAUAGUACCG
This 231-nucleotide ribosomal RNA is filed under the name Clostridioides difficile. Its description in RNAcentral is "partial 23S ribosomal RNA". It matches the Rfam family "Bacterial large subunit ribosomal RNA", at positions 270 to 503 of the family's 2925-position model. Lineage: Bacteria; Bacillati; Bacillota; Clostridia; Peptostreptococcales; Peptostreptococcaceae. The record is from RNAcentral.